Molecule: small nuclear RNA, 161 nt
Organism: Lotus japonicus
Lineage: Eukaryota; Viridiplantae; Streptophyta; Magnoliopsida; Fabales; Fabaceae
Product: U1 spliceosomal RNA
Exons: 1
Source: RefSeq, a predicted model, not a curated record
AUACUUACCUGGAUGGGGUCAAUGGGGGAUCAGGAAGACCCAUGGCCUAGACUAGUGACCUCCAUUGCACUUAAGGAGGGGUGCUAGUCUAAGGUCUACCCAAGUGGUGGAGCCUACAUCAUAAUUUGUGGUAGUGGGGGCCUGCGUACGCGCGGCCCCUG